GAGGACGUGGUGAGGACAACCAGGACAGGACAUCGGGCUCCGGACCCGAAGGUCGUGGGUUCAAAUCCCACCGGUCCCG
This 79-nucleotide transfer RNA is filed under the name archaeon 13_1_20CM_2_54_9. RNAcentral describes it as "tRNA-Arg". It matches the Rfam family "tRNA", at positions 15 to 71 of the family's 71-position model. From Rfam's summary of the family: Transfer RNA (tRNA) molecules are approximately 80 nucleotides in length. Their secondary structure includes four short double-helical elements and three loops (D, anti-codon, and T loops). The record is from RNAcentral. RNAcentral also lists the same sequence under 2 other names.